RNAcentral lists this long non-coding RNA (1891 nucleotides) under Chrysemys picta bellii (western painted turtle). RNAcentral describes it as "lncRNA (ENSCPBG00000008100.1)". The record is from RNAcentral. Lineage: Eukaryota; Metazoa; Chordata; Testudines; Emydidae.
ACCGAAGCCUCACAUUAAUUUGUGAAGUAGGUAUUCUCCCACUCCGAGUCACAGAAAGGUUGCAAUUUCCCCAAGUUCACCCAGCAAAUAGAUGGCAGAGCUGGGAAUACAACCCAGGUUGUCUGACUUGAAAUCUUGUGCUUUGAAUCUUUUAGGUCACAUUCCCUCUCAAAAGUGUGCUGGGAAAUGGCCAAAGGAGAUAUACCUGGUCCCUCAUCUCUUUUCCUAUUCAGAACAAUUCUUAAUGCUAUUAUCUUCGUGUGUGUUAAAUAUCUUCCAGUACUGAAAGAACCAGCUGAAGAGUCAAAUAAGGAUAUGGAUGGCUGUUGCACUGGAGAUAAGAGACCUGGAGAGUCCAGAACACCCAGUCAUGCAAAUAGAGGAAGACCUUCCAAACUGGACCAUACCAUUCUGCUGGGAAUGGACCAACAACGAAAAGCUGAGGGAAGACAAGCUCAAGCCUUAUACAUUUACUCAAAACUCCAGGAGACUCAAAUUCCUGCAUUCCGAGCACCUGAGACUAGGACUAUCUCCAACUUUGAAGAUUUCGACUUUUUGGCAAAAUACUGCAUCUUCAGCCAGGAGAAGUUGGCUAAGUACAAAAUGGCUUUUGAAGCGGUGGAUACUGAUGGAGAUGGAUACUUGAACUGCCUGCAAGUUUUGAUGGCUCUGAAAGAAACUGUCCCUUCAGAUGCACUAACUGAUGCUGAAGAACUUUAUGUAUAUAGGAUCUUAGAGAUUGUUGACUAUUAUGUAACAGAUGGCCUGACAGACCUCCGACUCUUCGCAGUGAUGGCUAGCUUGGCACAGAAAAUAACAGCACUGGACAAUUAUUUCUGUGGAAUAUUGACUCUCACUCCAGCAGCAUCACAGUGGACCAACUUUUGGUAGAGCUGAAGGCUGGAGGGAUAAGCGAAGAGCAUGAGAAAGCCGUGCAGAGAGAACUGCGACACAUCCAGAAACUAGAUCUUCUUGAUUUCUUGACUUACCUGCCACUCUUUGUCCUUACCCACAACUCUGUCAUUGCCAAUCCACUGGAUGAUUCGAGAACAAUCUGACCAGCUACCUUAACUCUAGCAGAAGGGAAGCUGAUGUCUUAUGAAGGCUUCUGAUUUACCAUUUUCCAGCAGACAUCACAGAUUGUGGUGGUGCUAAGGAACUACAGAUCAGAAACAAAUUCCAAUCAAUUCACUCAUACGUAGGGUGACCAGACAGCAAGUGUGAAAAAUCGGGACAAGGGUGGGGGGUAAUAGGAACCUAUAUAAGAAAAAGACCCCAAAAUCAGGACUGUCCCUAUAAAAUCGGGACAUCUGGUCACCCUACUCAUACGUAUAAAUACAACAAGGCCUAAUCUGUAGCCCUCAGUCACCUGAGCAGUCCUUGCAGGAGUAAAUCAGAUAGAGGCUCAAAUACUGAGAUUUGUAAAUGUAAACUUUGAAGGUACAUUUGGCACCCACAGGGACAGUGGCUGAGCCACAGUCCUGGAAAUGUUCCCAAGAAUUAAACUGUGUCAGGGUUUCUGUGAUGGUGUGGCCCCCUUUAUACAUGAGGGGCCACAUUUUCAGAAGGUCUCAGCAACCACAGUUAUGCUCAAACUGGCUACUUCAUGUAGGUGCCUUGAAUGGGAAGAGUUGAAUCCAGAGCUCUUUUGAAAAUCUGACCGGUUAUCUGCCGUUAUAAUAUAUUUUAAAAAAAUGAUUGUAAAAUACUAAUAUAAUGUGUAGGAAUUCCUUUUUCUCCAUUUAUCUCAGCCAGUGCACUUUUAAGUCUGGUUACUGUGACCGGCCUAUAACUAUUGAGAAUCAACAGGUUAUUUCUAGUGUGUAGUGAGAAAUAGGCUGAAAACACAAAGGAUUAAUUUUGCCUUUUCAAUCCGAUCACAAACGUUUUG